Non-coding RNA from Acanthosepion pharaonis, 113 nucleotides. The record is from the annotation of a GenBank genome assembly. NCBI's taxonomy places the organism in Eukaryota, Metazoa, Mollusca, Cephalopoda, Sepiida, Sepiidae.
UACGACCGCAUCAGGUUGAAACACCGGUUCCCGUACGAUAACCAAAGUUAUGCAACAUCAAGCCUGGUCAGUACCCAGAUGGGUGACAGGCUGGGAAUACCAAGUGCUGUAAG